CUUUGGGUCACAUAUUUAAGUGAAAUUUUCAUUCCUGCGGAAUCAUAACAGAAAGCUAGUUACAAAAAAACACCUAGACAUUUUUUUCACAAAACAAAUUCCAACUUCCCAAAUAUAUAAAAUAAAUAAAAAACGCUGUUACAAACUCCAAAGAUAAGCCAAUCAUUAUUCCUUGAUCUCAGUAACUUUCCAUUAGUUCCAUAACAAAAGUUAAUAGAGCAGAGAAACAGUCCUAAGUUUGGUUUCCUCAUCAAAUUAUCUAAAUUGCACUGAGACAUAGUCAUCAAGUAAACAAUGUUUCUUAUAAACAUUUUUCCAUAAAUUAAUAUUUUUUAAAAUUUUAACCAAAAUAUAAAACAAAGUUUAUACCAAACAAAAAGUUAAAAGUAUUUCCUGAGGGCAGCCCCGUUGGCGCAGCGGUUUAGCGCCGCCUGCAGCCCGGGGUGUGAUCCUGAAGACCCGGGAUCAAGUCCCACAUCGGGCUUCCUGCAUGGGGCCUGCUUCUCCUUCUGCCUGUGUCUCUGCCUCUCUCUUCGCUCUCUCUCUGAAUGAAUAAAUAAAUAAAUCUUUAAAAAAAAAAAAAAGUAUUUCCUGAAAACUAUGCUUAUAAUCAAGAAAUUUUAGCGGUGAAUAAAUUCUGCACUCAAGUCUCAAGUGGGUCAAACACUCAAUUUCAUGUGAAAAGUGGCAUACAAGUCAACUGGGAUUCUAAAUGUUAGAGAAAACCUUGAUUGAGAAGUUAAAAUAAUUUGUCUACAUAGUUAAAAAUGGCAGAAUUUAAAGUAUUCUGGCUCCAGUAGGCUAAUGACACUAAAAACUUCCUAGGUUUACUGGCAAUUGACUAAAUGAGACAUAUGAUACCUAACUGUUAGGAGUACGGCUAUCUUCAAAGAAUCUAGACAGAGUUGCUAUGCACCCUGGCUGGCAUCUUGGAAAACAUUAAGAUCUGAAUGGGCUACAGGAUAUUAAAAAGUUUUAAAUGUCUUAGUGAUGGCUCCUGCAAAAUUAUGAUUAAUGCUGUCCAUGACAUUGUGUGUGUGUGUGUGUGUGUGUGUAUAUAUAUAUAUAUAUAUAUAUAUAUAUAUAUAUAUGAUGAAUUUAAUUCUGAAAAGAUAUCAAAAGUUAGAAAAGUCUUGCCACCUGUGUAUAAACGUCAGUAGGAAGCUUCAGAAGAUGUUGGUUUCCCAUCCCUUACUAUGUCCCCCACCCUAUUUAGACUCUUUGGCCACAGAAUUGGCCCACUGUUAUUUAAGCUAGCCACAUUCCAGAUGACAAGAUCUUGUAAAUCAAUCUCUCUCCCCUCCCAACACCAGGGGUUUGUGCCCAGCUAUCAGAACCACUAUUCUUUUGGACUUACUUACCAAACUAUGUCUUCUGGCAUCAAAUCAUUUAAACUACAUAAGACAGUUGCAAUAUUUUCCUGUAGAUAGGGUGCUGAGUGAGGUCUCAGCAGAUAGGGACUUUAAGGCCUGUGACCAUGGACAAAUCAGUCUUUCUAGGCUUCAAAUUUCUUCAUCUAAGGUCCCCUCUAGAUCAGAACUCUGUAAUUCUAAGUCCCCAGGUUAGAAAGAGUCUGUAGGUAGAAGCCUCUGGUUUUCGCCAUGCCUUGUAAUGGGCAACUGGCUUCUCAGAUGUGUGAGAGUCAGAGGGUGGGUAACAGUCAUAGCUGACUGCAGCUGGAAGAGCCUCUCUUUUGAAAUCCCAUGGUAGGUAUUUAGAUAGGAGACAGGUCUUUGCUAUGAGCCACUGAUUUAAAACCUGAGUGGCUGUCAGUAAAGCUACUCCCUCUUCCAUAUCUAAAGAGUUUAUAACCAGCAUUUUCCUUUAUGUUCUCAUCCCCAUUCCCUCUCACACACUCAAACUCCCACUUCCCAAUCAACACUUCUUGGGGGAAUUCUAUUACUUCUAAUGGAUCCUUAACGACAAAAAUAUGGGGAGGGGGACAAUUCCAAGUACAAUAUACAUCAACCCAUCUUUUUAGACAAUAAAAUAUAGUUAACUUAACCCUAACCUACAGAGCAUCUAUGUAUCUUUUUUUUUUUCUAUCUUUUUAACACUUCUUAUUGUUAUUCCUGCCCAUAUACCUGAAUCUAUUUACUCAAGUUCAAAUGAUCUACACUUUUUGAUGCUUUGGGCUAUUUUAGUUAACUACCAAGCAAGACCCAUCUAUGGAAGAAGGCAGGAAAACACAUAGCAGGAUCAGCUGUCUUAGUCAAAGCCAAGUAGUCAAAAUAUGUACAAGCUUCUCAGAGGUUCAUUCUUCACUCUGCUCACUCAGGAAGUUAACUAUUAAUAUCUGAAGAGGCUUCAUUCAAACUGUAUUGACACUCAUUAGUUUGAGAUGCCUCUGUCUAAAAUGAUUAUCUGGCCAUUUGCAAAUGGAUAGGAUUAUGAAAGAGCCUUAUUAGAACAGUGAUUCCAUAACCCCGCAUCUAACUGGCAAAGUGUAAAAUUAGUCGCUGUCAGGUUACCUGGCAUUCGCAGAGUUCCUCCUGAUAGCUCAUGCUAUUGACAGAGUUAUGGUAUGACCUACUAAAUAUGUAAAUACUGCUUCUACCAAAUUCACUUUGUCCCAAACCCAAUGAGAGCCCAUCUGGAGAAGUGAAGUAUAUUAUUCAAACAUGGUUUCUUCUUUAAAGGAAGAAUUCGGGAUGCCUGGGUGGCUCAGCAGUUGAGCAUCUACCUUUGGCUCAGGGCAUGAUCCUGGUCCGGGGAUAGAGUCCCCUGUCAGGCUCCCUGUGGGGAGUCUGCUUCUCUCUCUGCCUAUGUCUCUGCCUCUCUCUCUGUGUCUCUCAUGAAUAAAAAAUAAAUCUUAAGAAAAAAAAUAAAGGAAGAAUUCUAAGAAGCAUAAUUCCAAAAUGAAUUUUCUUCUUUAAAAACAAAUUGUAGAUAAUUACUUAAACCUACAUGAAAAACAGAACUUUUCCAGGUUGUAUCAUGGUUGAGUAUCAUAAAUGAUAUUUAACUGUCAUAUGAUAUUUAACUGUUCAUUGGCCCUUCCUAUAACUUUCCAACUGUCUUCUCCAAUAAAGAUGCCUGAUAUAAAAUAAAAAACACCCAAAUGGGAACCUGUUCCUUCUGCUGGGUCAACUAUCAGUGAUAUUUCCAAAUUACUUUUUUUUGGUCAAUUAGAAUAUCAUAAUUCUUACAUUGGAAUUUAAGGUAAAUCUGGAUUUUUAAAUUUUAUUGCAUUAAAUAUGUUUUCUUUAAGGUUUUUAAACCAAAACCUACCAGAAUUUAGAAACUUCAGAUUUAACUUGGUUUCAUGAUUGCUUAAUACUAAGAAAGAAGUUUCAGCCAGUAAUAGUCUAAAUUUAAAUGUACU
RNAcentral lists this long non-coding RNA (3325 nucleotides) under Canis lupus familiaris (dog). RNAcentral describes it as "lncRNA (ENSCAFG00000054203.1)". The record is from RNAcentral. Lineage: Eukaryota; Metazoa; Chordata; Mammalia; Carnivora; Canidae.